GCGGCCGACGGAGAGCUGCAGCGCCGCGGGCCGGCGGCGGGGAUGGAGGGCGGCGGGGAUGGAGGGCAGAGCUCGGCGGGAGGCUCCGGCUCCGGGGGGACUGCGGGGACAGGAGGUGAAGGGACGGAGUAUCAGUGGUAUCCAUGGGGGUACUUAAGGAAGGAAAAAAGUUAUUGCUUGUACUGUGCGAAUGGAGGGGCGUAAUGUCUUUAAAGGAGCAGGUAGGAUCAGUCUGGCUCUGCGGAAGGCAUUAUGCUAUGUUUAGUGUGUAACCAUUUGUUCUUUUUAUUUUUUAUUUUUCCCCCGUACAUCCAGACUUAAAGAAAACUCAUAUUGGCUUGUACCAUCAGCGCUGCACUUCAGAGGUUCACCACCUUUCCACUGGUGAUAUAUGUAAUCAACGAUGGCACUUCUUAUGUACGGGUGUUUCUCUUUUUCCUUUUUGUGAAUACCCUUUUAUCAGGAGCAGUGCGAAGCUGAUGCUGUGGUGCUUUGUGCUGUAUUCCCCAUGUAUGUUUGUACUGCAGGCAGUUAAAGGAUUAUCCAAACCUUGUCUCCUGCCUUCAUGAGAACGACUUCAGUGGGUUUAUAGUUCUAAGACUGUUGUGCUGAUGGUCUGAUCAAAAGCUCUGGGCUUAACCAAGCCUGAUGGACCUCCGAUAAAAGUGAGUCUUUCAGAAUACAGCUGAAGAACUUUGAGUUUUCAGAAAGGAAUCUGGAAACAAUGGUUUCUACCAACAGUUUAUUUUCCUUUUUUAAAAGGGUAACUUUGGAAAGUUUUUCCUACUUUCUUAUUUUUCUCAUGCUUGCCCCAUGAGCCAAAUAGAACUAGAAGCGUGUUUGGUUUUUUUUAACCGUACAUCUGAAUAAAAUGGUCAACAGAUUAAUUCAUAAAGUAGAAUUUUACUGCUCUAAAUGUAACAAAAGAAAUGUAGUGACCCUGCCUAUGUGUAUGUCUUAAGCCUUUAGUGAACCUAAGCCUUAAAUGUAUGUAGUCUUGCCAUCACUUCUGUUUUCUUCAAAAAUACACUGUUUGGCAUGAAAUCGGGGCACAGGAGUAUAAUAGCAGACGAUUCUCUUCACGCUGAAGUCAAGAAGAGUUCUGGUGUUGCCUGCAGUCGAGUUGUGAUCUUCAGAGGAGGAGCUUCCAGGAGAAGCUGAGAUAUUUGAAUAGUAGGAAAGCCUGGUACGUAAAAGUGCUUCUCAGGGACAGUUUAGGCAAGGCAUCUUUUUUUUUUUUAACCUACUGCUGUAACUCAGAACAAGUUAGGCAAGGUUAAUUACAGUGUAAUAGGGUUUAAUUUAGCUGGGAAUGAGGGUAUGGUGGCUGCUAGCAGUGUUUCUCAAACUGUGAGGCUGGCCUCCUUAGGCAAGCUUACACAAGCCCAAGGCAAAUGGAAAAACACAUUUUUGUCUGGGACUUGGCAAAGGUGGAACCCCCACAUCUAUUAAUGAUGAUUCCUCAUUUGCCAAGGCAAAAAUUGAAAUGUUCUCCCAAGGAAAAGAUUAAUGACCUGUCCCACUUAAGGGUCGGAUGAUUCAAUACCAUUCUGUCUCAGUUCUAAUAUAUGGCACUCAUUAUCACAGUCUCUGAGCACCUCCCAAAUAUUUAAAAAGAAAUAACACUAGUGUUCUGUACACACAGUUCUCAUUAAAUUCAGUGGGUGUUGUGAAUGUUUAAACACAGCAAAGCAGAACCCUGAAGAGUUGGAAAUAGACUUGCAAAACACACUGUGGGUUUGAUCCACAGCUGGCUUGAAUCGGCCCAACUCUGUUAACUUGAGGGGAGUUGCACUGAUUUACAUCAGCUGGGGUUUAACCCGGUGCUUUUCUGCCUGGUGCCAUCUCCAGCUGAUAAGCCUGAUUCUCCUAUCUGGCUCUAUCUAAACUCGUUGCUGAUUUCAGUGGCAACAUGAGCUGUUUAAGGAAGUGUUUCCUGCUUCCAAGGCAUUAGUAUUGCUCUUCAUAGCAUGGUUCAAGAUCAUCUCUACCUAGACAAUAUCUGCUUUCCCAGUAGCUGGUCCACGUGUCCCUUUCCUCUGUUUGUUGCCUGCUGGUUCAGGAUGGCCCAGAGAUACAAGUGCAAGGGCUGUGAGGGCUGAAGUUUCCCUUUAUGGUCUUUACUGUCUGCCCCACAAAUCAAUCCCACCCAGCAGACCUGAUGAAAAUAAAGCACCUUGGUGAUGUGGCACCUUUCAAGCAUGGUACCUUGUAGGGCAGGGGCAUAUCCCACCUGUGUGGGGCGGAAUGGUGGAGCUGAGGUGUGGGAGGAGACUUCGCACAGCAAGCCCUGGGCUCGCCCGAGGCAGUGACAGCGGGAACCGGGCACGGGCCGGCACCCGCCCCCCCCCCGGAGGCCCGGCUGAACAGACGAUUGAUCGGACUUUCACCGCCGGCACUAUGAAGCGGGAUAAUGCCUUUGUC
Long non-coding RNA from Numida meleagris (helmeted guineafowl), 2424 nucleotides. RefSeq lists it as uncharacterized. The transcript has 5 exons. Lineage: Eukaryota; Metazoa; Chordata; Aves; Galliformes; Numididae. The record is from RefSeq and is a predicted model, not a curated record.